This 418-nucleotide ribosomal RNA is filed under the name uncultured bacterium. RNAcentral describes it as "bacterial SSU rRNA". It matches the Rfam family "Bacterial small subunit ribosomal RNA", at positions 30 to 478 of the family's 1533-position model. The record is from RNAcentral.
AUUGAACGCUGGCGGCAGGCCUAACACAUGCAAGUCGAGCGGGGUUUUCGGACCUAGCGGCGGACGGGUGAGUAAUGCGUAGGAAGCUACCCGAUAGAGGGGGAUACCAGUUGGAAACGACUGUUAAUACCCGCAUAAAUGUCUACGGACCAAAGUGUGGGACCUUCGGGCCACAUGCUAUCGGAUGCGCCUACGUGGGAUUAGCUAGUUGGUGAGGUAAUGGCUCACCAAGGCGACGAUCUCUAGCUGGUUUGAGAGGAUGAUCAGCCACACUGGAACUGAGACACGGCCCAGACUCCUACGGAGGCAGCAGUGGGGAAUAUUGGACAAUGGGCGAAAGCCUGAUCCAGCAAUAGCCGCGUGAGUGAUGAAGGCCUUAGGUUGUAAAGCUCUUUACCCGAGAUGAUAAUGACAGUAU